Molecule: long non-coding RNA, 2031 nt
Filed under: Monodelphis domestica (gray short-tailed opossum)
Lineage: Eukaryota; Metazoa; Chordata; Mammalia; Didelphimorphia; Didelphidae
Description: lncRNA (ENSMODG00000048582.1)
Source: RNAcentral
AGAUUUUACUGAAAUAAAACCAAUGAGAAAGGAAACAACAAAUCUAGGAAACAACCAAUGGGGGGGGGUAUAUAAAGUAUCUGACUAAAGCAUCAUUUCUCAAAUAUAUAGAGAACCAAGUCAAAUUUAUAAGAAUACAAAACAUUCCCCAAUCAAGAAAUAGAUAUCAACAGGCAGUUCUCAGAGGAAGAGAUUAAAAUUAUUCAGUUAUAGGAACAAAUGCUCCAAAUCACUACUGAUGAGAGAAAGUUAAAUUAAAACAAUUCUGAGAUAUGUCUUCUUAACUUUCAUAUUAGCUAAACUGACUUAAAUGAUAAAUGUUGGAGGAGACAUGGGAAAAAUGAAACACUGAUAUGCUGUUGGUGGAACUAUGAACUGAUACAACCAUUCUUGAGAGCUAUAGGGAACCAUACCCAAAGACAACUAUGCAUACCCUUUGAGCCGGUAGUCUCAUUACAGGCUUAGUAUCCCAAAUGGAUCAAAGAUAGAAUAAAAGGAAUUAACUGUACCAAAAUAUUAUUGGCACCUUUUUUUGUAGUGGCAAAGAAUUGGUAACUAUGGGGUUAUUCAUCAUGUGGGAGAAGAAUGAACAAGUUCUUCUAUAUAGUUAUAAUGAAAUACUAUUGUACCAUAAAAAAACAGUGAAAGAGUGAGUUCAGAAAAAAGUGAACAGAACCAGAAGAACAAUGUAUAUAGUAACAGAAGUAUUUUGCCAUGAUCAACUGUGAAGGACUAAAACCAUUAUCAGUAAAGUAAGUCUCCAAGAUAACUGCAAGGGAUUCAUGAAGAAAAUAGUGUCUGUAGCCAAAGACAGAAUUUUAGAAGCUAAGGACAGAUCAAAACCUGACAUCUGCUCCUAUAAUAUAACCUUCAUGAGAUUUAUAUUGUAAGAGUGAUAGGUGUCUUCUAUCAUCUAUGGACAGAAAUAACAUGGAAGUAUGUAUAACAUGAAAGUAUGGGUAUAUGCUCCUCUCUCCUAUUAAUCAUCUUGUCUGGGAGCGGGAGGAGGUUCUCUGCAGAAGAAAAAGGGAUCCUUGGGAAAAAAGACCUAAAAAAUAGAUCCAGAAGAGACAAUUUAAGAAACAUUGGACUACCAGAAAAUCAUGACCAAAGAAAAAAGUCUGGAUAUCAUUCUACAGGAAAUUAUUCAAGAAAACUGCUCAGGCAUUCUUGAACAAGAGGAUAAAGUAGAGAUUGAAAGAAUCCACAGACCACCUGCUGCAUUUAAUAGCUAAUUGACAACACCAAGGAAUGUUAUAGCCAAGUUCAAGAACUUCCAGAUUAAGGAAAAGAUGCUACAAAGAAACCAUUCAGAUAUCAUGGAUGCACAGUUAGGAUAACACAGGAACUGGCUGCAUCCACUCUGAUGGACUGCAAGGCAAAAAAUAUGAUAUUACAGAAUAUGAAGAAACUGGGUCUACAACCAAGAAUCAACUACCCAGCAAUAUUGAUUAUAGUCAUGCACUGGAAAUUUUGGUAAUUUAAUUUUAAAAAGACUUCCAAGCAUUCCUAAAGGGAUGACCUGACUUAUACAGAAAAUGUCAUACCCCAAAACAGAACUCAAGAGAAUCACCAAAAGGUAAGAAAGAAAAAAGAAAGAAAACCAAACUUUUUCAGGGACCCAAUGAGGUAAAAAUGAUUUGUAUUUCUAUAAGAAAAGAUAUUGAUAACUCUUAAAAAAUGUCAUUUUCAUCAGGUUAGCUAGAAAGAGGGUACAGUGACAAACUGUAUAGGAUGAUAUGUCAAAAUGUAUUUAAAAAACUAGGUGUAAACAUAGGUUAAUACUAAGAGAAAUUGGAAAAGAGAUAAAAUGGGGUAAAUAUAUUUUUCAUAAAGAAGCUCAUGGGGGAGGGGGAGAAGAUCAAUUCAAUGGAAGAAUGGAAGAGUUUGGCAACAUGUAAUACUUAAAUCUUAUACACACUGAAAUUGACUCAGAGAGAGAACAAUCAGAUCCAUUGGGGCAGAGAAUUGUAUUGUUUCUUAUGGAGAAGUAGAAGGAUAAUAAAUGGGCAUGUGGGGAGGGGAGCUACA